This is a long non-coding RNA of Stegodyphus dumicola, 449 nucleotides long. RefSeq lists it as uncharacterized. NCBI's taxonomy places the organism in Eukaryota, Metazoa, Arthropoda, Arachnida, Araneae, Eresidae. The record is from RefSeq and is a predicted model, not a curated record.
GACAGAGCUUGAUCAAAAGAAAUGAUUUUGUUUUGCAUUGCAUGGGUUCUUUGCGUACUUUCGAUUUGUGAUAUGAACAUUUUGGUAACAUUUUGCUGAGGAAAAACUGAAGAAAAUUCUACGAAUGAAAAUGUCAAAUAUAGAGAUCCAAGCCGAGCAACUUCUUUAUAUGUUUGUCAACUUUCUAGGCAUAAUGCUUUUCUGUUUAGUUGUAUGGUACCACGUUCCCCAAAGGCCCAGAAGACUGAGUGCAACAAAAUAUCAAGACAAAAGAUCUGAGGAAAUGAGGAAGUCUGGUCGAAUUAAAAGGAAAACAUAAUGGAAUAUGGUUCCAAGUAACGGAUGGCAUUUCUAAUACCAAGCAGCUAUUGUAAAACAAAGUUGGGAAUAUAACAAACAAACUGAAAAGUAUUAAAUAAGAGAAUAAUAAAAGAUGUUCUUAAAAUUUU